AUUCUUGCCCUCUCUCCUUUGGAUUGGAUGCCAUGUAUAUUCAUUUCUCUGCCAGGCAGAAUGCUGCAGUCUGCUGUCUUCAAGACCACUCACCAAUUAGCUCUGUUUCCCUGCUCUUUUUAAACCUGCUUGCCACCGUUAAUGUUCCUGCGGUGACAUGAAGAGAGCCCCAUUCAUUUCAAAUAUCUACGGACUCGAUGACCUCUCUAAGUUAGAACAUCCUAAGAGAAAUCCAAGGACAACCUAUUUCCUGGAAGCCACCAAUCUAAGUGAAUAGUCUAACCCUGGGGAUAGCUUUUCUUCAUUACAUGAAACCCCAGUUACUGAGACAACUGGGGUCCUGAGGGAAUUUUCCUUCGAUGUCUGUGGUUCUCAAUCUUUUUGUGGAUCGAGGACCCUUUUGAGACUAUAACAAAAACUAUGAUCCCUCUCUUGAGAAAAAUAUUGAUACACAGAAAAUUUUGCAUGUUUGAGGGAUUCAUAGCAUUCCUCAGAUUGCCAUAAGUUAAGAACUGCUAUUCUAAAUAGGGUUAAAAAAAAAAAAAGAUGAGCAUUGAUGGAAUUGCCCUUCCUUCCUUCUUCAAUUCAAGAAAGAAAAAAUAACGAAGCUUAGAGAUGAGCCAGCCAUUGUGACCCCCGAACUCCAAAUAAUACUGUCCUUAAUAAUAAUAUCCAAGGGUCAUGCUAGUGGUCUCUAUGGACAUCUCUAGUCGUCAUAAUAAUUUUUAUUUUUAUUUAAUGUUUGGAGACGUUGUAAAAAGUGACUACUGUUUCAAAAUGUGACCUCUGUGAGGUUUAAAACCUACUGAAUCAGAUGAGAUAUGAAAGCGUUCAAUAUAAUGUAUGACUUAAAGCUAUAUUUUUUAAACUUUAAUAAGAAAUGUCUGACUCUUAGAUCACUGUUUCUAAAGCCUGGCAGACAGAAACAUGUCUUUUAAAAAGGUCUAAUUUAUAUACCAAAUAGAGAUCCAGCAGGUAGAAAUGAUGCCUUUCCUUUUUACCUCAUGCCAACCAGAAUCUUUCAUCAGCUUUGAAUACACCUCAGCUCCAGCAAUAUUUAACAAUGCUAACUCAUCUCAUUUAUUUUCAAAGAUUUUUCAAGUACUCUGCUAGACAGUUGGAUACUAAGAUAAGCAAAUCACGGUCUUUGUCCUUGGGACGGUUAUAGUAUUGUGGGAGGACAGGUGUGUGUGAACACUCAUGCAGCUACUGUGGUGGCUUAGACAGCAUCCAUUCCCUUCUUCCUCCCUCCUGGCAGAAUUUUUUUUUUUUUUUUUUGAGGCAGGGUCUCACUGUGUCACCCAGGCUGGAGUGCAGUGGCAUAAUCUCGGCUCACUGUAACCUCCACCUCUCAGCCUCCCAAGUAGCUGGUAUUACAGGUGUGCACCACUGCACCUGGCUAAUUUUUGUAUUUUUUGUUGUUGUUGUAGAAAUGAGUUUCACCAUCUUGCCCAGGCUGGUCUUGAACUCCUGGUUUCAAGCAAUCCACUUAUCUUAGCCUACCGAAGUGCUGAAAUUACAGGUGUGAGCCACUGUACCCAACCCGGAACUCCGUUUUUAUUUGGGUACCCACCUCUCCUGUACAUAAGCUAUGUGAUCUCUGGAAAGCUGACCCACACCAGGCUAUACCAAUCAUGAUAAUCCUACACACACCCUUGCCUGUGAUUGGCUCAGGCAUCAUGGCUUCAGCCUAUUGCUUAAUUGGUGACGGUAAUUGGUCCAGGGAUGAACAUGUGACCUAAAGCCCUCCUCACACCAAAGGGAAGGACAACUGCGGGGAAGGUUCUCUCUCUUCCCCUCUAUGCAUGUUGCCCCAAUUGCUUUUAGCAACUGUCUUGCUACCACUGGGGAGAUUGGCCUGAGGACAAAACAAAUAUAUCUGGGAUGACAGAUCUGAGAAAAUUACAGAAACCCUAAGCAGAAACCCUGAUCGUAUCACAUCUGGAGCCCAGUCUACAUCCAAAUGGCCUUUAUAUGAGAUCAAUCUACUAUUUUCUUUUUGUUUAGUCUUCUUUGGGUGGACUUUCUGUCCUAUGCAGACCAAAAACUUCCUGACUGUCAUCCCUACUAUUAGAGAGUGAGAGUACCCCUGGUAUGCUACAAAAAUCUUCAAAAAAAAAGCACAGAGGAUGGACACAGUCACUCUGGUGGGAACUUUCUGGAGAAGGGGAUACUUGAACUGAGUUUUGAAGGUUGAAUAGGAGUUAGCUGAGCAGAUAUAAAAGGGAAAGGGGUUCUAAAGAGAAGAACAAGUGAACAGAGGUGUGCUGGUGCCUUCAAGGUUGUUGGGAGAGUUGUAUGGCUAGAGUGAAAUGAGCACUCAGGGGAUGUUUUGGAAGAUGAGACAGAAGAGGUAGCAAGGGCUGGAUCAUGAGGGGUCUCACAUUCCGUGUGAAUGUGGAUUUUCUAUUAAAGGUAAUUGGGAGCCAUUGAAAGAUGUUAAGCUAAGUGUCAUGGUUGGUUUAGCGUUUUAAACAAUUGCUGGUGGCCAGUGUGGAAGGUGAGUUGGAGACUUGGAGGUGAGUUGGACAGUUCUGGAGACAGGGGGAUCAGUUCAAGAGUCUCCAUUUUGCUGGAAUUCUCAGUCAUCCUCUCCCAACAAGGGGCAGAAAACAUGGGCUCUUUCUGGACAGUUCAGAGAUGGGAGCUGUGAAGACUGGUACAGAUCCAAGUUGGUGCUCAAGAUAUAGAACAGUGCACAGGGUCAUGGAAUGAGCCCCUUACUUGCUGUGUGGCCUUAAGCUAGCUGCUUAACUUCUCUGCGAUUCCAUUUCCUUGUCAAUAAAAUGAGGAUCCUAAUGCCUACCUUGCAGUGUUUUGGUGAGUAAAAUAACAUUUAUAAACAGAUAAGGCUACUAGAGAAUAGAAACUAGAUUAAUGACUCACUGGAUGAUUGAGUGACGGGAUGACGUGAGUGGUUUUCCCUACUUAGAUUAAAUAUGUGGUUAUAGACUUCAAAAUGGCAGGCCCAGUACUUGGGGAGAUGUUACUACCAGAUGAACAAGUUAUCCCCACUACUUUCUGAGAUAAGUUUAAUUCUCAUAGAAUUUUUUUUAAUGAGGGCACAUCUGCCCACAAGGAUUAGAGAAGCUUCUGCUCAGCCAUUAAUUAAAACAACAUGCUUUGAAGCCCUGUGGAUUUGCAGCUCUCCAUUCUUGGGGCUCAAGAGGAAGCAUUAUUAUAAAUUGCUUUGGAAGGAAUUGAUUAGGGGUUUUCCAUAUGAUACCCUCAAAGGGCUUGAGAGAUUAGGUUUUGGCCCGAGCUCAAGGGCUGCUGCCCAGUUGGUUUGGAUAGCCUGCAGGGACAGGAACUGAGAAAGGUGCCUGUCUGUGCUCCUUUCCAUAAGCCAGAUCCUUUGGUCUCCCAAGUUGACUGUGCCCAUUCAGUGGUGGUCAGAAGAAAGGGCUAGGGUGGGACAGUGCGGAGCUGGUGCCCACCUGCAGAUGCUUGGAGGUAUAACGUGCAGUGAUUGAGAGAUUUACCAUCAGAGGCAUCCAGGUUUUUGAGUUCCAGCUCACUCACUUACUAGCUGUGUGACCUUGAGCAAGUGACAUAACUUCUCUGAGCUGUGACUUUUUUCAUUUGGAAAAAUGGGUUUUAUUUAUUCCAAUUCUACAAAGUGGGAGUAGAUCUACUCCUAAGGUUAUUAUGUAGAUUAAAUAAAACAUUUAUAUGAAGUAUGUAUGCACCAUAGUUUAUAACAGAUGGCUAAUAAACAUAGGUUGUUAUUAUUAUUUAUAAUGAACAUUUGUAAUGUGGGGUCUGUCCAUCAAGUAGCUGCUCCCUGAUUUCCUUCUGGGGAAUUACCUUUCCUGAUUUGGUGUAGUCUUGGUGCCCUCUAGUGUGCUGACUGUCCACCUUAGAAGUUGAAAGGUGGAGGCUCUGCCCACCAGACAUUCUUUUCACCACCUAGUACAGCCAAGAUGUGAGCAUUUCACCUGAGUUCAGGCAAUCAGAGUUUCUGUCUCCUGAGACCUUGAAUCAAAGCAAAGGUAGCAAACACAGUGGGAUAGUGCCUGAGGAAGACGGUCUUCCCUUCCCUCCUGUUGGUGCCCCAAAUAGUUCCUACAAAGUCUCCAUUCUCUCAAAGGGCCAAAAUCCAUUUCUGUUGCUUGUGACCAAAGAAAUGAGAUACUGUUGCUUUCUGCUUCUAGGAAAUGAGUGUUUCCCUUCACAACCUGCUUCACUUCUUGUCUUGUCUUUACUCCAAUACACAGGGCACUGCCACAACGGCCCUACCUAGAAUGUUCCCCAAACACAGCGUAAAUUUUUGUAACUUCCUGCACGUUUUCAAGACGUCCUUUCUGUUUGGAUGUCCAUAUCCAGCCCUCAUCCUCCAACAGGCAAAUUCUACCUCAUUCUUUAAGCCCUGGCUCAAAUGUUGCUUGCUAGGGAAGGCUUCAGUGACUGCCCCUGACCCAGCAGUACAAAAACAUUUCAUUUCCUCCACGUUUUUCAUACUUUCACUGAAGCAUUUACUACACUUGCCGUGUUGUAUUACAGUUAGGUUAUUUGCUGCCAUCUACAUUGUGUGCUCUUUGGGGAUGGUCUUGUUCAGUUUUGUUUCUCUAGUACCUGAUUCAGAGCAAGAGCACGAAGCAUUUUUAUUGAAUAAAUGGUGAAGAAAUGACAUUUCUUACAAACAUAUGACUUGUACAAUUGUAUAUGCAAACAUAUGCAGGGCAUGUCUAAAUAAUUUCAGAACAGUAGGCCAAUUCAAUAGACCACCUGGUUUUCCCAGCAGUGGUAAGAAACCUGUCCUUGUCUCAGUUAGCCAAAUUGACUAUCUGGAUUCACCCAAAAGUUAAGAUCAUUGUCUCAACUCUCUUCUUUGAGAGUUACAUCCCAACAUAAUUACAUAACACUAGUAACUAAGUCUUCUAUGGCCCUGACCACAUCCCAAGCACCAAAUCAAUAUUAACUCACGUAAUCCUCAUAAUAAUCCUAUGAAGUAGAUUCUGCUAUUUUUCUCAUUUCAGAGAUGAAAAAACUGAGGCAUAGUGAGGUCGAGUCACCUGCUCACGGUUACAUGGCUGACCAGUGAAAGAGCUGUUUCUUGCCUCAGCUGUGCUCUUCCAUACGAUGCUGCCUCCUCUGAAUUCCAGAGGAAUGAGCAGAUUCAGCACUUAGCCCAGUUUCACAGCUUGGGGGUUGGACACCGGAUAGGGGUGGCUGCAUAUGGAGAUCUGCCCACCUUGUAAGAAGUAUUGACGAGUGCAGGUUUUGCUAAGCUAUAGCAGGGUAGUGAUGAAGACAAAGCAGUUUCCUCCCAUGAUAUUUGAUCAUUCUGAGCCCCAGAAAUAACCCUCGUGCAAGUAGGGGUCACAUUAUUUGCCUUGGCUAAACUCACCAAGCUGGAUUUGGUAGGCAGUAGAGGGUAGUUCCAUGGUUAAGCUUUUAAGUCAAAGAGUACUGAAUGUAAGGCCUGGCUCAGCUGUCUGCUGCUGUGUGUGAUCUUGGGCUAAUUAUUUAACUGCUGGGUGACUCAGUUUCCUCACCUGUGAAAUAGGGCAUAAUAAAAGUCUCCAUGUCAUAGAAUAGUUAUGAAAAUUAAAUGAGAUAAUUACACGGAAAUUACUUGGUAUGUCUGGCACCUAUUAAGUGGUAGUAUUAUACAAAUGUUAGUACAAACAUUUGUGCUAAUUAUGGGAUAUUUAAUGACCAAUAGCAUGUUGGGUCUUUCAAGGAGCAAUGAGAAGCAAAAGAGUAGGGUUGAGAAGUGAAUGUCCAUCUACUUUACCAAGCAAAGUGCAGUCCUUAAGAAUUUACUCCACUGCCUGAAGCUCCAUGUCUGGCCACCUAGUUCUCCCAAGGAUUCCACUAGGUAUGAGCACAAGAUAGGGUUUGUAGUUUUCACACCCAGUAAUCAGGGCUGAUGGCUCAAUAGGAUUAUUUUGUAUAGCAAACCCAAUAUCCUCUUUACUAUUCUUUUCCCCUUUCUGAUUUCCAGUUGAAAAAAAAAACCCUCCAAUGAUAAAUUUGGUCAAAAGGCUUAUUUUAUUACUAGUGCCUGUUGCCAAAGAGCUGAUAUUUCUCACAAAUCCUGAGCUGUGAGUUGUGACAGCCAGUGCUUGGGUGAAGUUAGCACCUGCCUCAUCCCCAAGGAGAAGAAGUGAGGAUGUGAUUUUCCUGACCGAGUCCAUUACAACACAUGUGCCCUGACCCCUGGGAUUUGGGGAGGAGGAUUCCCAAUCUGCCAGUUCAUUUAAGCUUCCAACUUUGCAGAUUCCAGAUUCAGAUACAGAGAGCCUUCAAAUGUGUUCUAUAGAAACCAGACUUCAUUGUAAAGUUCUCUAUUAGCUGCAAAACAAACAAAGAUGUACAAAUAAAGUACAUUUUAAAGUAAGAAAUAUAUUCUGUUAAUGCACCUAUCUGUCUCAGCUUUUAAUAAACCCAGUUUACGUGGUUUACAAAUGAGACCCAUUUCCUGAGAGAUCUUGGAGUUGAAAAUUGGAGUAGAAGUGAUUAUAAGCAUAGGAAGGUAUUACUGUACUCUGGGAGCCUCCAACACACUUAAAACACAUUAAUAAGCCCUCUCCAUGGAGGAUUCAAUAGGAUGAAACUAAUCCUCGUGUCGUCCUCUCUCUAUUUGUCCUUCAUGACUGGGACAUGAGAAUUAUGCACUAAAUAACAAUCUCAAAAGGCAAAUCCCACAGAAUGUGGGAACCUCUUGGGACUGUGUGUAGGUGUUGUCACUCCAUAGCUGGCAUCAGAGUGAACUCCCACCACUGGGAUAUGGAACAAUUUGUAAUGUAGCAAUUAAUGGAAAUAUGGCGAAGUAUUCGCUUAGCAGGAAACUGGUAACUGCAGGGAUCACCAAACAGAACAGUACCAUGGCAUGUCCAAUAUCCCAAGGGAUUCUGAAGACAUUCAGAUGACAACCAAGUGCUAGGCAUCUUGAGAAGCCCCUCUGUGCCCCAUUGUUACUUGAGGUUGAAGUUAAAAAUGAUACCUUCUCUUCCACCCAGCUUUUGAGCUACACAGAAGGGAGGAGCCGUUUUAUAAAAAUGCAGCCUCGGAAAUGUAAGGACGCACCAUGCUUGCUCGCUUCACCCUGGGUGAACAGCCUUCGGCAGAUUCUCAUUAGGAAAAUGUUCCACUGGGCUUUCUCCUCAGGGUGCAAGGGAGACCUGGGCCGUUGCAGAGCUGCAUUUUGCAUCGCCUGGAUGAUUGUAAAACUCCCUACUCACCACCCCCAACCAACCAAGAAAACCCAUCAGCUUAAGUACCAACCCCCCACCUCAGUUCUCAUAUACUUUCAUCUUGUUCCCAGGAUCCACUAAAGUAAAUAAGAUGUCCACCCAGAUAAUGGAAACCCCUCCAGCUCUCAGUUAGUGCCUUUUCAUGCCAAUUAAACACAUUUUAUACAGUCAUCGUAGAUGCAUCAAUGACUGCAUUCCGAGACGCCAAUAGGGCCGCGGCAGACAUCAGCCUAGCAAACGAAAUGUAUUUCAUGCGUGUUUUCUCUCUGUCUUAUUCUAACCACUUGGCAACGGUCUCAAUUGAAAACAUUGAUUCUGAAAGAUAUAUAUGGGUAUAUAAACUGAUUAAGCAGCUUAUUUGCUGCUGAUUACUUUACUAAUAAAGAUCUCAGCGUGCUUAAUUUAAAUUAAUACUUCUUUAAUGAAAAUCCAGCUUAGAGCAUUAAAAACAAUCUUGACAGAUGCGUUUAUUGCACAAACAUACAUUUAUCUACGCCAAGCCAAUUGAACAUACAAUCAUAUUUGGUUGGAGUUAUAAUUGAUAAUGAUUCUACAAUUAUGACUUCAGUUAGGUGUGUGUCGUUCACCAGAGUUACUCUGAUACUCUCAAAAGGUUUUCUCAUUUUGGAGGCUGUGAGGACCCAGUGGGAAGUACAUGGAAGUUUGCGAAGCAACUGCAGAACAUUUGGUUACUUUUGAGAUGAGGAGUAAGAUAUCCUUGCUUCCCCUCCCCCUCACUCCAUCCUCCUCUGCCUUAAAAAGCCAAAAGGAGGGUGGCUGACUUUCCAGUGUAGUAAAAAUUGGAAAGGGGACAAAAGGUGUCAAAUGUUAAGACCUAGGGAUUAAACAAAAUUGGGUUAUUGAUUAACCAGUGUGUUGGUAACCUGAUGUUUGUGGCAGCCAAAUACCAGAGUCUCUCGCCUCUUGGAGUUUAUGGGCCAAUUUCUCCCAAGAUGUGUGAGCUUGUUGUGCCGCCGCCAGUGGACUCGCCAGCGGCUGAGCAGCUCAGAGUGACAGCGACUCAGCGUCUGGAAGCCCCACUGGGUUGUGAAAUGAAGAAGGCCUUCUUUGCCCCUGAUGCAGCCUGGGCGAGCCCCGAGGCUCCAGAAGCGAGCAUCUCCCAGCUCCUAAAGAGCAGACAUAUAUCCUGCCUUUAAGACAAGACUACAAUUGCAAAUCUGAGAAUAUAAAUUACACUUUCAUCUUUCUUUGGUUUUCUUUCUUUUGCUUCAGUUUUCAUUCCAGGAUAAACUUUCCUGUCAAAGGGACAUUUCUGAUGUGUCAAAUUCACCACUAUAAUGAACAGGUUGACAAAUGUGGAAGGUGAGCAGACAUUUGGAUCUGCCGCAGCUGCCUGCAGCCAGAGGAAACCAUGACUUUCACAAGGAUAACGAGGCUUUGAAAGAUGGCGAAAAUGUCGCCAUCAACCUGCCCUUCUGCUACUUAGUAAUUAGAUAAUUAGUCAGGCCCUAAUUAUGGGAUCAGGGUGCAGGAAAACAAUUAGCUGAAAGAAUUACUAUAUAAAACUGAAACGGAGAUUCCUGAAAACAAUAUUUAAUUUUAUGAUAUUAAUAUCUGCAGCAAUAAUGGGAGUCCUUGGCUGAUGCCACCCGUGUGCCUAGGCAUCCGGAAGGCAAGCUGGGUAUUCUCCUUCUGAGAGCUGGAUGUCAACACGAAAAUGAAUCCUGUGACACUGUCUUUUCAGGACCCCAUGUGUGCCCAGGCAGGAAGUUUGUGGCUGUUGCGUGUCAGCCAAGUGUGUACAUACCUGUGCCACACACACUUGCCUACAAACUCCCAAUUCCUUCCCCAGGCCCCAAGAAGCUACCAAAUAUGUCUCCGGCUGCAAAGAAAAAUGGGGCCGGCUCAUAAAUUCUUCUUGCAUAUGGUAUGAGAGAGUAAACAGGUAAACAAGUUUUCAAAUGCCUUCCUCCAACCUGGAAUUAUUAACACAUUGUCUUGUUAUCAUGAUUAAAAUUAAAUGAUGUUCCAGGCUCUUUGACAAAUGAAUUUGGAAUGGUUACAGUAAUGGCAUUACUUUAAAUUAUGAAACCAGGGAGAAAAAAAAGAGAGACAAAGAGAGAAAAUUGAGCCUAACAGCCUGAUCCUUAACUAUUAUUUACCUAUUAUCUGAGAGAAUUGAAUCUCGCUGUGCUGCGGCAGAGAAUAAUAAAAGAUUUGUAGGCUUUACAAGGCCCUGUCCUCCCAUCCAGCAAGCACCAAUUCCCAGGGGCUCCAUUGCGAGCCCUGGCUCAGCUUGUCUGAUCAUUUAUCCAUAAUUAGAAAAUUAAUAUUUUAGAUGGCGCUAUGAUGAACCCAUUAUGGUGAUGGGCCCCGAUAUCAAUUAUAACUUCAAUUUCAAUUUCACUUACAGCCGAGUAAUGGGUCCUGGUGGCGGUGUAGAGAUGGGCUGGAGCUUCAGAGCAUGACGAAUACAGAUCACUGCACAUUAGGAUGAGCAAUUAUUUGAACAUGUAUAAAAACUAUUUACAAGCAAUGUAAUUGACCGGGGUCAGGGGGAGAUGCUGAAAAAUGGACAGGUUGACAAAUUCUUGUUCCAUACCAACAGAAAGGAUUUAUUAAUUUCUUUGGCUGUAAUUGAAUUUUUGAAAGGUUCUUGUUAAGCUUGCCCUGCUUUGCUCAUCUCCUGUGCUGACCUUCCAUAGAUCUGAUGCUAUAGCUCCUGCUUGCUUCCGUAGCCCUUGGCAGGGAGAUUGCUGAUGGAAUUUAUAAAAAAACAAGCAGCCACUUUCAAAAUAGAUUCAGCAGAGAAUAACAGAACCACCACUCUACUAUUGUGUAACUUUCUCUUUGGAAAAAAAAAGGCUCAUAAUCUUGUGGAUAUUCCAGCUAAACACUGAGGGUUUCAAUUCUACAUUUUACCAAUUUUAAGGCUGACGUGAGCAGUGAUUUAAAGGUGAAGUAACCUUUCAGUGAUAUAACAAAGUUCAAUUUUAAUAAAAUGGAUAAAAGCAGUUUUUACCAUUUGCAGCUGAGUAGACAUCAAAGCCAUGUGUCUCUUCUAUUUCUCUUUAACCAUUUGUGUUUCCUAAGAUAAUGUUACCAAUUAUUUAAAAUUCCCUUUGGGAGGAAGGAGGGAGAAUAAGAAAUAAUUAUUUGCGGGGGGUUGGGGGUAUUAUUUUCACUGUGAUCUGUGCCCAGACCUCUCUACCUGAGAAGCUCUUCUCCCUUCCCCUUCCAUUCUUCCCGAGCUGGCUCUGCUAGAUCCAUGAACGCCCAGUUUUAACAAUUCCUUUUCAAGAACACACAAACAGACGGAUGGCAAAUAUGCAAAGCGGGAGGAAUGGCUUCCCAGACUCAGGCAACACACACCUUCUUCCAAAACGCGUAAACUCUGAGCAGGCUUGGGGCUGAGGCAGGCAGCAAGGCAGCCCAGCGAAAUCACACCAAAUCAGAGCGAAAGAUAAAUUAUGAAAAUAUCUCAGUGUCUUUAUUUGUUAAUUUUCCAUGGCCUUGGGAUGCUGCUGCUGGUUUUGUCCUGGCAUUGCCUCAUGCAUUUGCUCUUGUUUUUUUGAUGUCAGUUUAAUUGUUCACUGUCAGGGGCAGAGCAGCAGAUAACAAGCUUAGCAAAUGAUGUCUGCUGUUG
This 10809-nucleotide long non-coding RNA is filed under the name Homo sapiens (human). Its description in RNAcentral is "HSALNT0292778". The record is from RNAcentral. Lineage: Eukaryota; Metazoa; Chordata; Mammalia; Primates; Hominidae.